GCCGAGGUAGCUCAGGGGCAGAGCACCUGAUUGUGGAUCAGGGGGUCGGCGGUUCGAAACCGCCCCUCGGUAC
RNAcentral lists this transfer RNA (73 nucleotides) under Palleronia abyssalis. RNAcentral describes it as "tRNA-His". It matches the Rfam family "tRNA". Rfam says of the family: Transfer RNA (tRNA) molecules are approximately 80 nucleotides in length. Their secondary structure includes four short double-helical elements and three loops (D, anti-codon, and T loops). The record is from RNAcentral. Lineage: Bacteria; Pseudomonadati; Pseudomonadota; Alphaproteobacteria; Rhodobacterales; Roseobacteraceae.